This 727-nucleotide small RNA is filed under the name Faba bean phyllody phytoplasma. RNAcentral describes it as "bacterial LSU rRNA". The stretch from base 243 to 727 matches the Rfam family "Bacterial large subunit ribosomal RNA", at positions 1 to 518 of the family's 2925-position model. Lineage: Bacteria; Bacillati; Mycoplasmatota; Mollicutes; Acholeplasmatales; Acholeplasmataceae. The record is from RNAcentral.
GGAUGGAUCACCUCCUUUCUAAGGAAACCGAUAAAAUCAAUCAUCUUCAGUUUUGAAAGACUUAGGAUAACUAAGUUUUUCUUCGUGACUUCACGAAGGGCCUAUAGCUCAGUUGGUUAGAGCACACGCCUGAUAAGCGUGAGGUCGGUGGUUCAAGUCCAUUUAGGCCCACCAGAGUUAUAGGUGUCGUAAGAACACAAAUUCUUUGAAAAUUAGGUAAAUAAUAGUUAUUUUUCCGGAACAUUAAAGGAAAUAAGAGCGCACAGUGGAUGCCUAGGCACCAAGAGCUGAUGAAGGACGCAAUUAACGGCGAUACGCUACGGGGAGCUGUAAAUAAGUGUAGAUCCGUGGAUUUCCGAAUGGGGCAACCUACUAUAAGUAGUUAUAGUAUCAAUUUAUUAGGUAACUAAUUGAUUGAAAGGAACGCAGUGAACUGAAAUAUCUAAGUAACUGUAGGAAAAGAAAGUAAUAACGAUUCCGGUAGUAGUGACGAGCGAACCCGGAACAGCCGGAUACCAAUUUCUAGUUAUCAAAUUUUAAUUAACUCGAAAUAGUUGGAAAACUAUAUCCUAGAAGGUGAAAAUCCUGUAGAGGUAGAUUAAAAUCUAGGGUAUCCUUAAGUACGGCGAGACACGAGAAAUCUUGUCGGAAGAUAGGAGGACCAUCUCCUAAGGCUAAAUACUCCUUGGUGACCGAUAGUGAACUAGUACCGUGAGGGAAAGGCGAA